RNAcentral lists this long non-coding RNA (1436 nucleotides) under Homo sapiens (human). RNAcentral describes it as "HSALNT0113336". The record is from RNAcentral. Lineage: Eukaryota; Metazoa; Chordata; Mammalia; Primates; Hominidae.
AAGCCUACACAUGACUCAGUGAGAAAGAAUGGACAGCCCAACAGAUCAACACCCACGGCCAAUGAUACAUCAGAACACACUUCAUCACAGAUGACAGGAGGAAAGUGAAGUGGGAGGUGAAUGAUGUGCAAAGGACCAUGGAAUGUGGAACCUUGCCCAGCCUGCUGCUCAGGAGGCGAUUGCUCAAGGCUGUCUUAUGCAGAGGAGGUCAACAGUUGACCCAUGAACCAUUUAAACUGGAAGGAAGAAUUAACCAAUACCCUGAGAGAUUGACUACAACUACUUUUUCCUGAAAGUUAGAGUGCAGAGUACAGGAGAGGAAGGCCAUUUACUAAUUUUCCUGCUUCCUUCACCAGUCCUCUACCUCUCCAUACCUAAGGUCCUUCACUCAAUAUACUCAAGUCUUCUCUGCUAUGUCUGCAUUCCCACAUGCCACGGCAUAUAAAAGCCUGUGAAGAAAAAACCAACACCUAGAAUUUUUUCCAUCCCUCACCUUUCCUUUGAGAACUCAACAACCCAAGCAACAUGAACCUUUUCCCAAAUACCAUUUAGGAGAAGUCACUGGCAGUUUAAGAAACAGAUUUUUUUAAAAAGUUCCAGGGUGAGACAUCUUCCAACAUAAACUUUAAAUAUCAUUCUUAGCAUCAAAGCAACAAUAUAUUUAGUAUGCUUCAAUCAUUCCCAAGGAGAAAGAUACUGGAAAAUGUGGUUUGAAGUGUAAAUUUAUAGAGCAGAGUCAUAACCGACAGUUAAUAUAGCUGAGUUGGCAGCAAGCAUUCCUGGACCUGUCUCUCCAAUCACAGAGUACCCAGGGACACAGGCAUUUACACACGGACUCCGGGAGCUUGUGCAAUGUGAUACCAACUGCAGUUCUCUUCAUGAACAUAACCUCAGAACCGAAAGGCUUAUAGGUGGAAGAAACAUGUCUUGAGUCUCAGAUAAGACUUGCGGCUUUGGACUUUGAGUUCACACUGGAACCAAUUAAGACUUUGAGGAAGACUAUUAGGAAGGGAUGAUUGUAUUUUGCAUUGCGAGAAGGACAUGAGAUUUGGGGGACCAGAGGCAGAAUGAUAUACUUCGGAUGUUUGUCUUCUCCAAAUCUCAUGUUGAAAUGUGAUCCCCAAUGUUGGAAGUGAAGCCUGGUGGGAGGUGUUAGGGUCAUGGGGGCAGAUCUCUCAUGAAUGGCUUGGUGCCUACCCCACAAUAAUAAGUGGCAAUGAGUUUACAUGAGGUCUGGUUGUUUAAAAAGAGUGUGGCAUCUCUCCCCUCUCUCUCUCGUUCCCUUUCUCACCACGUGAUAGGUCUGCACACCCUUGGCCUUCUGCCAUGACUGGAAGCUUCCUUAGGCCCUUACCAGAAGCAGAUGCUAGCACCAUGCUUCCUGUACAGCCUGCAGAACUGUGAACCAAAAUAAACUUCUUUUCUUUAUAAAUUAU